Molecule: transfer RNA, 75 nt
Filed under: Canis lupus familiaris (dog)
Lineage: Eukaryota; Metazoa; Chordata; Mammalia; Carnivora; Canidae
Also listed under: 1 other name
Rfam family: tRNA
About the family: Transfer RNA (tRNA) molecules are approximately 80 nucleotides in length. Their secondary structure includes four short double-helical elements and three loops (D, anti-codon, and T loops).
Source: Rfam by way of RNAcentral
GCCUGGCUGGCUCAACUGUGAGGGCAUGCUAGACUCUUGAUCUCAGAGUUGUGAGUUCAAACCUCAUGUUGGGCG